UACCAUGCGGAUUAGAAAGUCCUGGAGCAGACACAGGAGCAGGGAUGGGCUUGCAGCAGCACAGGCUGCUGAAAUACCAAACUCUAACUGAAAGCAGAGAAUGAAACAGAAGUGAGGCACACAAAUGGCCUUAUUAGCUUUAACAGUCUCACUCACUUGCUUAAAGGUAAGUGGUUGCUUUGUCGCUAUGAUGCUUGAGGACCUCGAAGGGGAUGGCAGGCAGCUGUGGUGCCUUCUUCCUAGAAUCAACCAUAGAAUAGGUUGGAAACCAUAGGUUGGAAAAGACCUCUAAGAACAUCUAGUCCACUGUGCCCUCUGACCAUGAACCUCAGUGCCACAUCUCCAUGGUUCUUAACACCUCCUAAUAUCAGGCUCUGGAGAGCAAGACAUUGUUUCUCAGAAGGGCUACCUGGUACAGCAGGAAGCAGGAUCCCCCCACUCCUCCCCCCUGAAAAGUUGGCCUUUAUGAUCUUGAAAGUCUUUUCCAAUCUAGAUGAUUCUAUAAUUCUUGGAUUCUGUGUUAGCAAUUUGUAAAGUCUUGCUUGAGGUUUCCCUUACAGUUCCUGCCUGAACAUAACACGCUAUAUGGACUCCUCAUGAGCCUGUAGGCACUCUGUGUGGUACCACACAUAAGAACUGCUGCCUGAGCCCUGGGUUUUCUUUCUGGGAAGCAUGGACAGGUGAAGGAUGGGCAAUGGGAAUAGCAGCAUCCUCAAGUUGCAAAACUCAGUGUGAUCCCUGAACGAUGUGUGACCAUUCAGUUCUCCAAGUCUGGGGUUGGUUUUUACCCUGGGGUUGGAAGGAUGUAUAUACCAAAGAAGGGAUUUUCUAACCUGGAACAUUUUGGGGGUUUGGUCUUCAGGGACACACAGAAACCCCCAGCCAUCACCAGGGUGGAAAAAGGCACAGUGAUCCAUUCCUGACACAUUCGUGUUAUUGUCACAUCCAGAUGAGAUAAAGAAACACCGAGGAGUAUGAAAGCACUUCUGUUUUCCCUAAAAAAAAAAAACAACAAAAUGGCAAAGGGGGCCCAGCUUCUUCCUUCUGCCAAGAGCAGCUGAAGAAAGAGUUAUCACCCAGGGGUGAAGAAACCACCAAAGAGUGUUUCCAUUUCCCUCUCUCCUUAGAUGGAAGAUCAUAGCAUUCUCUAGAAAGUCCUGGAGCAACACAUGCCUCAUCCAAAAUCAACCAUCCUGAAUGGGAGCCUGGGGUCAGCGUCCAAGUCCAACAUUCAAUGUUGCAGUCCUUAAAUAAACGGAAUAUGAAAUGAAAUGAAUACAGGGAGCAGACAGGCAGCGUUCACUGUUUCCAGCACAUUUCCAGGGAGCAGUGUUCCCUCCCAGAAACUGAGGAGGAAUCCAAAGAAGACAGCAGGAAGAUGUUAAUAAAGUUUUUUUUGUG
This 1401-nucleotide long non-coding RNA is filed under the name Gallus gallus (chicken). RNAcentral's name for it is "lncRNA (ENSGALG00010020195.1)". Lineage: Eukaryota; Metazoa; Chordata; Aves; Galliformes; Phasianidae. The record is from RNAcentral.